CAGUAGGAGCACGCAGGCAAUUUGUUACUCUGUGUGAACCCCGGCUCACCGGGGAGGGGAUUGGGUCUGGGAAACUUGAGUGCAGAAGGGAAACGGAAUUUCCUGUGUUACGGUGAAAUGCCUAAAAAUAUGGGAGAACACCAGUGGGCAAAGCCACUUUCCGGUCUGUAACUGACCCUGAAGCGCGAAAGCGUGGGGGACAAACAAGAUUACAUACCUGGUAUCCAUGCGUAAACGUGAGUGCUAAGUGUUAGAGGGUUUUCCCCCUUUACUGCUGACCUUCACGCCUUAAACACGCCCCCCUGGUGAG
This 310-nucleotide ribosomal RNA is filed under the name uncultured bacterium. Its description in RNAcentral is "bacterial SSU rRNA". It matches the Rfam family "Bacterial small subunit ribosomal RNA", at positions 563 to 870 of the family's 1533-position model. The record is from RNAcentral.